This 463-nucleotide ribosomal RNA is filed under the name uncultured bacterium. Its description in RNAcentral is "partial 16S ribosomal RNA". It matches the Rfam family "Bacterial small subunit ribosomal RNA", at positions 28 to 507 of the family's 1533-position model. The record is from RNAcentral.
GACGAACGCUGGCGGCGUGCUUAACACAUGCAAGUCGAACGGAGAGGCCUUUUCGGAGGUACUCGAGUGGCGAACGGGUGAGUAACACGUGGGUGAUCUGCCCUGCACUCUGGGAUAAGCCUGGGAAACUGGGUCCAAUACCGGAUAGGACCGCACUUUAGUGUGUGUGGUGGAAAGUUUUUUCGGUGUAGGAUGAGCCCGCGGCCUAUCAGCUUGUUGGUGGGGUAAUGGCCUACCAAGGCGGCGACGGGUAGCCGGACUGAGAGGUUGGUCGGCCACAUUGGGACUGAGAUACGGCCCAGACUCCUACGGGAGGCAGCAGUGGGGAAUAUUGCACAAUGGGCGCAAGCCUGAUGCAGCGACGCCGCGUGGGGGAUGACGGCCUUCGGGUUGUAAACUCCUUUCGCCAGGGACGAAGCGUUUUGUGACGGUACCUGGAGAAGAAGCACCGGCUAACUACGUG